This 294-nucleotide long non-coding RNA is filed under the name Mytilus galloprovincialis (Mediterranean mussel). Lineage: Eukaryota; Metazoa; Mollusca; Bivalvia; Mytilida; Mytilidae. The record is from RNAcentral.
UAAACAAGAGUGCACACACUGAAAUGUCUCGCCUUCUUUACUAAUCAUUGAUAUUAUGUUGAUAGUCCUAAGUAUAAAGCUUUAUUACAACUGUCACAUAAACUUAACAUUAACCAAGAUAGCUAAACAAAGACCAAUGAACCAUAAAAAUGAGGUCAAGGUCAGAUGAACCAUGCCAGACAGAUAUGUACAGCUAACAAAGCUUCCAUACAACAAAUAUAGUUGACCUACUACUUAUAGUUUAAGAAAAAUAGACCAAAACACAAAAACUUAACACUGAGCAAUGAACUGUGC